This 1183-nucleotide long non-coding RNA is filed under the name Homo sapiens (human). RNAcentral's name for it is "HSALNT0320499". Lineage: Eukaryota; Metazoa; Chordata; Mammalia; Primates; Hominidae. The record is from RNAcentral.
CUGCCUUGCACUUAGGGAAGGUUCACAUGCCUCAAGGAUCUCUCUCUCUCAGAUUUCUUGACUUUCCCUCAGUCUUCAGUAUAGUCCUCCUCUGUGCCUGGUGAAGACCUGUGGUAAAGUGCUGGCAGAGAGGAAGCUAAAUCACGUAAAAAUUAAGAAACAGCUCAGCGUUUCACAGCUAGGCUAGGCUUACACCCAAUUUAUGGUCAUCUUGCUCAUGCUCAUCCUGCACAAUUUCUAGCAUUUGGAGAAUGUUUCUCAUGGUAGCAUCUAAUGCCUGUGGCUGCUGAGAGAAAGCAGCGAUGAGGGGAAGACACUGACCUCUGUUUGGAUGUGGUGUGCCUGGGAAUAAUGUCACCAAUAGCAUAAGAAUUAAUGUCUACUAUGAUGCUGAAAUAAAUAAACUGGUAAAACUACUCUGCUGUCUAAAUCCCCAAGUUACAAAUUUACAGAGCUGCCGGCUUCCCCUUGAAGGAAUAGGAGUAGACCUGCUGAACUAUCACAUGAGAGAAGAGGCCCAAAAGCUUGCACACUACAGUCAAGCUGGCCCUUAAAGAGAUGGACCUAGAAGAUGCUGAGCCAGAUGUACUCAAUUACUUCUCCAAAAUUCAUCAAUUAGGAAUACAACAUGUUUAAGACCACAGAACAUCUGCAUAGGCUGUAAAUUUCGUUGAAUGAUGGAUGCAAAGAUGGAAGACAGAUGGAUAGAGGAAAAGACAGAAUCAGAUACUGGAUGAGUUAGUACUGCUGCCUGUGCUUCAGAGCUGUCUUAUUACCACAAGGCCGGCAAGCAUCAAUGUCCCCACAUCCCCCUCUGCCUCCCCCUGAAAUGUACCGAUUUAUAUGAAAAUUAAGAUUACAAAUUAAAGCCUGGCUAUCCUGGAGUUUUCCAGUUCAUCAGCCAUCCAAUAAAAAUGAUGUCAAGCCUGUAUGCAUAAUUCCCGGAAGAUUACUUUCGUCCUUACAGCUAAGCCCUGUCCCUGAUAUGAAAGAUCUCUAUCCACUUUUAUUGAAAUAAAGAACUAACAUCAUAAUCCCAAUAUUGAGGUAUAAUCUUCAUUAUCUCCUGACCCUCUUGAGGUUCCCCCAAUCUAUAUUACUUCAGAUUUGGUUUAUGUGUAAUCCUUAUGUAUUUACUUUUAUUGAGAUAGGAUUAAAAACUAAAAAAAAAGCUUCAAAAAAU